RNAcentral lists this ribosomal RNA (356 nucleotides) under uncultured bacterium. Its description in RNAcentral is "bacterial SSU rRNA". It matches the Rfam family "Bacterial small subunit ribosomal RNA", at positions 443 to 793 of the family's 1533-position model. The record is from RNAcentral.
GGUAGUGUAGUUAACACCUGCAUUAUUUGACGUUACCUACAGAAGAAGCCACCGGCUAACUCCGUGCCAGCAGCCGCGGUAAUACGGAGGGUGCGAGCGUUAAUCGGAAUUACUGGGCGUAAAGCGCAUGCAGGCGGCCUGUUAAGUCAGAUGUGAAAGCCCCGGGGCUUAACCUCGGAAUUGCAUUUUGAAACUGGCAGGCUAGAGUCUUGUAGAGGGGGUAGAAUUUCAGGUGUAGCGGUGAAAUGCGUAGAGAUCUGAAGGAAUACCAGUGGCGAAGGCCGGCCCCCUGGACAAAGACUGACGCUCAGAUGCGAAAGCGUGGGGAGCCAAACAGGAUUAGAUACCCCUGGUAG